RNAcentral lists this long non-coding RNA (205 nucleotides) under Ananas comosus (pineapple). Its description in RNAcentral is "long non-coding RNA (ACOM_LNC028853)". The record is from RNAcentral. Lineage: Eukaryota; Viridiplantae; Streptophyta; Magnoliopsida; Poales; Bromeliaceae.
CCAGACAGCCUACGGGUGGGUCUUACAAGAUUGCAACUAUAAGUAGUUGGUAUGCCAAGUGGACUUGAACUAGAAUAGUAAACAAUGACAUCUUACUAUUUCCGUUGUGGACAUUAUGUUGGUUGCAUACUCAUGCUUAUUCAUGUUAGCAUAGCUUUCUUACUUAUGCAAAUCAUACUAAGUAGAGACAUCGUGUUAUAGCCAG